GAUGAAGAACGCAGCGAAAUGCGAUACGUAAUGUGAAUUACAGAAUUCAGUGAAUCAUCGAAUCUUUGAACGCACAUUGCGCCCCUUGGUAUUCCGAGGGGCAUGCCUGUUCGAGCGUCAUUUCAACCCUCAAGCACAGCUUGGUCUUGGGCUUCGCCGCUAACCCGGCGGGUCUUAAAAUCAGUGGCGGUGCCGUCGGGCCCUGAGCGCAGUAAUCUCUCUCGCUAUAGGGUCCCGGCGGAUGCUGGCCAGUAACCCCCAAUUUUCUAUGGUUGACCUCGGAUCAGGUAGGGAUACCCGCUGAACUUAAGCAUAUCAAUAAGCGGAGGA
RNAcentral lists this unclassified non-coding RNA (330 nucleotides) under soil metagenome. Its description in RNAcentral is "partial contains 5.8S ribosomal RNA, internal transcribed spacer 2, and large subunit ribosomal RNA". The stretch from base 1 to 120 matches the Rfam family "5.8S ribosomal RNA", at positions 35 to 154 of the family's 154-position model. The record is from RNAcentral.